This 642-nucleotide ribosomal RNA is filed under the name Limosilactobacillus fermentum. RNAcentral's name for it is "bacterial SSU rRNA". It matches the Rfam family "Bacterial small subunit ribosomal RNA", at positions 26 to 624 of the family's 1533-position model. Lineage: Bacteria; Bacillati; Bacillota; Bacilli; Lactobacillales; Lactobacillaceae. The record is from RNAcentral.
GGGGGGAAUGGCCGGGCGGUGUGCCUAUACAUGCAAGUCGAACGCGUUGGCCCAAUUGAUUGAUGGUGCUUGCACCUGAUUGAUUUUGGUCGCCAACGAGUGGCGGACGGGUGAGUAACACGUAGGUAACCUGCCCAGAAGCGGGGGACAACAUUUGGAAACAGAUGCUAAUACCGCAUAACAGCGUUGUUCGCAUGAACAACGCUUAAAAGAUGGCUUCUCGCUAUCACUUCUGGAUGGACCUGCGGUGCAUUAGCUUGUUGGUGGGGUAACGGCCUACCAAGGCGAUGAUGCAUAGCCGAGUUGAGAGACUGAUCGGCCACAAUGGGACUGAGACACGGCCCAUACUCCUACGGGAGGCAGCAGUAGGGAAUCUUCCACAAUGGGCGCAAGCCUGAUGGAGCAACACCGCGUGAGUGAAGAAGGGUUUCGGCUCGUAAAGCUCUGUUGUUAAAGAAGAACACGUAUGAAAGUAACUGUUCAUACGUUGACGGUAUUUAACCAGAAAGUCACGGCUAACUACGUGCCAGCAGCCGCGGUAAUACGUAGGUGGCAAGCGUUAUCCGGAUUUAUUGGGCGUAAAGAGAGUGCAGGCGGUUUUCUAAGUCUGAUGUGAAACCUUCGGCUUAACCGGAAAAGUGC